GUCUCAGUGCUUGUCUCCGCCAGCAGCCGUGCCUGGCGGGCCUUAGUAGUCGGUGAGGGGGUACCGCAGGAAGAUGAAGACGAGGAUGAUGCAGGAGGCUGCCAGGGCAGAACUGGUGAUGUUGAACAGCCGGGCCGUCUUUGCAUCCUCCACGGCUCCAUUCAGGUCAUUGAGAAGCUUCUUGUCUCGCACUUUGAGGGAGUAGGCCAAGGCGAUGAAGCCCAGGCAGCAGAAGUUGAGGUAGACGAAGUUGAAGAUGGACCACAGGUAAUAGUCGUUCACCUCGGUGGUG
This 292-nucleotide long non-coding RNA is filed under the name Homo sapiens (human). RNAcentral describes it as "LNC_000583". Lineage: Eukaryota; Metazoa; Chordata; Mammalia; Primates; Hominidae. The record is from RNAcentral.